CUUCCCCUCCCCUCCCUCGUGGCUCAGGCUGCCCGAGGCUGAGUCAUCGCCGCGGACGCUGCCCGGAGAGCUGGCGAGCAGGGCAGAUCUGUACUAAGGAAUUGAGCAGAAGUAGAGUGUACAGCAGCCUGACACUGGAGGUGAUGGUAGCUUCUCAGGAUCUUUCCCUUGGAGUUGGAGUGGAAUACAGAACUAGGUCUGUCCAGGUUGUCCCUGGGAGAUGCCUUGGAGAAGCCCAGCCCCAGACUUCCAUCCUGAAGAUCUUCAUCCAGGUGUGUUUGGAUUGACUGCUCAGUGCUAGGCACUGUGUUUGCUGCUGAGUGCUGGACAGAGAGGGGAACAAGGCUCAGCCCUUGCCCACAAGGAUCUUGCCAUGCACAACAAAUAUACCAUCUGACCAGCUCUCUGAGAAGCUGCAAGUUUACAGCUUUGACAUCCACUUGAAAGAACAAUGCCAUGCCUGCUUCCACAGUGUACAGAUUUUAAGUUUACAGUGCAAUGAGUUUUGACAAACAUAAACCCCUAUGAAUGACAAGAUUUUGAUACACAGUCAGCUAAUUUAGAGAAAUUGCAAGAGUCCACAGAGCUGUUGGAAAGAGAAUGGAGUUUGGAGUCAAGAGACCUGGUUACCAAGUCAAGCCUCACAUUAACCAGCUGUGUGACUUUGGGCCUGUGCCCUCGCCUCUCUAGGCCUUGGUUUCUGAUCUGUUCAGUGAAGAGGCUGUCUCUGGGUCCACAUGGCAUAACAGGUAUUGAACAAAGGUCACACAAGAUUCCUGACAUUAUGCAGAGCUACUGUGUCCUGCUGAUAUUUGCAAAAGUGAACGUGCACCACCUGGAUCCUGCCAAUCAAACUGCUGAAGAAGAGAAACUGAAGAAACAAUAACUAUAACAAUAAACAAAGAUGGCAGAAA
Molecule: non-coding RNA, 914 nt
Organism: Globicephala melas (long-finned pilot whale)
Lineage: Eukaryota; Metazoa; Chordata; Mammalia; Artiodactyla; Delphinidae
Source: RefSeq, a predicted model, not a curated record